GUGGGGAAUAUUGCACAAUGGGGGAAACCCUGAUGCAGCGACGCCGCGUGAGUGAAGAAGUAUUUCGGUAUGUAAAGCUCUAUCAGCAGGGAAGAAAAUGACGGUACCUGACUAAGAAGCCCCGGCUAACUACGUGCCAGCAGCCGCGGUAAUACGUAGGGGGCAAGCGUUAUCCGGAUUUACUGGGUGUAAAGGGAGCGUAGGUGGUUCGUUAAGUCAGGUGUGAAAGCCCGGGGCUCAACCCCGGGAUUGCACUUGAAACUAUCGAACUAGAGUGUAGGAGAGGUAAGUGGAAUUCCUAGUGUAGCGGUGAAAUGCGUAGAUAUUAGGAGGAACACCAGUGGCGAAGGCGACUUACUGGACUAUAACUGACACUGAGGCUCGAAAGCGUGGGGAGCAAACAGGAUUAGAAACCCUGGUAGUCC
RNAcentral lists this ribosomal RNA (425 nucleotides) under uncultured bacterium. Its description in RNAcentral is "bacterial SSU rRNA". It matches the Rfam family "Bacterial small subunit ribosomal RNA", at positions 354 to 796 of the family's 1533-position model. The record is from RNAcentral.